UGAGGAAUAUUGGACAAUGGAUGGAAAUCUGAUCCAGCCAUGCCGCGUGCAGGAAGACGGCCCUAUGGGUUGUAAACUGCUUUUGUACGGGAGCAAUAAGGGUUACGUGUAGCCUGAUGAGAGUACCGUACGAAUAAGGAUCGGCUAACUCCGUGCCAGCAGCCGCGGUAAUACGGAGGAUCCGAGCGUUAUCCGGAUUUAUUGGGUUUAAAGGGUGCGUAGGCGGUUUAUUAAGUCAGCGGUGAAAUUUUCCAGCUCAACUGGGAUACUGCCGUUGAUACUGAUAAGCUAGAAUAUGGUUGCUGUGGGUGGAAUGUGUGGUGUAGCGGUGAAAUGCUUAGAGAUCACACAGAAUAUCGAUUGCGAAGGCAGCUCACAAAGCCAUUAUUGACGCUGAGGCACGAAAGUGUGGGGAUCAAACA
This 422-nucleotide ribosomal RNA is filed under the name uncultured prokaryote. RNAcentral describes it as "bacterial SSU rRNA". It matches the Rfam family "Bacterial small subunit ribosomal RNA", at positions 355 to 774 of the family's 1533-position model. The record is from RNAcentral.